GUAGUAGUGGGUGUAGCGUACCUACUAGCCUACGACGGGUACGGGUUGUGAGAGCAAGAGCCCGGAGAUGGAUUCUGAGACACGAAUCCAGGCCCUACGGGGUGCAGCAGGCGCGAAAACUUUACAAUGCUGGCAACAGCGAUAAGGGAACCUCGAGUGCCAGGUUACAAAUCUGGCUGUCGUGAUGCCUAAAAAGCAUUGCAUAGCAAGGGCCGGGCAAGACCGGUGCCAGCCGCCGCGGUAACACCGGCGGCUCGAGUGGUAACCGUUAUUAUUGGGUCUAAAGGGUCUGUAGCCGGCCGGAUAAGUCUCUUGGGAAAUCUGGCAGCUUAACUGUCAGGCUUUCAGGAGAUACUGUCUGGCUCGAGGCCGGGAGAGGUGAGAGGUACUUCAGGGGUAGGGGUGAAAUCUUGUAAUCCUUGAAGGACCACCAGUGGCGAAGGCGUCUCACCAGAACGGACCUGACGGCAAGGGACGAAAGCUAGGGGCACGAACCGGAUUAGAUACCCGGGUAGUCCUAGCCGUAAACGAUACUCGCUAGGUGUCGGCCACGGUGCGACCGUUGUCGGUGCCGUAGGGAAGCCGUGAAGCGAG
Molecule: ribosomal RNA, 594 nt
Filed under: uncultured archaeon
Lineage: Archaea
Description: bacterial SSU rRNA
Rfam family: Archaeal small subunit ribosomal RNA
Source: RNAcentral